Long non-coding RNA from Trichomycterus rosablanca, 472 nucleotides. RefSeq lists it as uncharacterized. Lineage: Eukaryota; Metazoa; Chordata; Actinopteri; Siluriformes; Trichomycteridae. The transcript has 3 exons. The record is from RefSeq and is a predicted model, not a curated record.
UCCGAGAUAAAAGUGUAAUAAACAUUUUAUAAUUUAAUCCUAGUGAUAUUUUUAUGUGUGUUUUAAUUGUAAAAAACAUGUAAAAUCACCUGAAUAUCGAAAUUGCUAGUUGGUUAGCACAAACCUUGUCAGACAGCGCCACCAGUCUUUCUGUCAGCUUCCUCAGCCUGCCUCUUGUAGGCCUUCACUUUCAGUUGCAGUUUGUCCACCAGAUCCUGCAGUCUAUUCACGUUCUUCUUGUCCUCUUCAGUCUGCAUACACAGGUUUCACAUAAGAAAAUUAUCUCAAAGUACCUCUGCUUGAAGUCACCAUAGAGGAUCCUGCUGGGGAAUCCCUUCCUGCAGAUUCUGAUACCCUCCAGCACACCGUUACACCUCAGCUGGUGGAUGACCAGGAAGUUCUCCAUCAGACCUAAACAAGCAUAGAUAAAUUAUGAAAUUGUGAUGAUGAAAAUAAAAUUGUUUAAGUUAAA